UUGAUGUCUCCAUAGCCGUACCGGGCUGCC
RNAcentral lists this small RNA (30 nucleotides) under Bombyx mori (domestic silkworm). RNAcentral describes it as "ovarian small RNA-37762". Lineage: Eukaryota; Metazoa; Arthropoda; Insecta; Lepidoptera; Bombycidae. The record is from RNAcentral.